RNAcentral lists this ribosomal RNA (845 nucleotides) under uncultured Bacillota bacterium. RNAcentral's name for it is "bacterial SSU rRNA". It matches the Rfam family "Bacterial small subunit ribosomal RNA", at positions 552 to 1397 of the family's 1533-position model. The record is from RNAcentral. Lineage: Bacteria; Bacillati; Bacillota.
UAUUGGGCGUAAAGCGAGCGCAGGCGGUUGCUUAGGUCUGAUGUGAAAGCCUUCGGCUUAACCGAAGAAGUGCAUCGGAAACCGGGCAACUUGAGUGCAGAAGAGGACAGUGGAACUCCAUGUGUAGCGGUGGAAUGCGUAGAUAUAUGGAAGAACACCAGUGGCGAAGGCGGCUGUCUGGUCUGCAACUGACGCUGAGGCUCGAAAGCAUGGGUAGCGAACAGGAUUAGAUACCCUGGUAGUCCAUGCCGUAAACGAUGAGUGCUAGGUGUUGGAGGGUUUCCGCCCUUCAGUGCCGGAGCUAACGCAUUAAGCACUCCGCCUGGGGAGUACGACCGCAAGGUUGAAACUCAAAGGAAUUGACGGGGGCCCGCACAAGCGGUGGAGCAUGUGGUUUAAUUCGAAGCUACGCGAAGAACCUUACCAGGUCUUGACAUCUUGCGCUAACCUUAGAGAUAAGGCGUUCCCUUCGGGGACGCAAUGACAGGUGGUGCAUGGUCGUCGUCAGCUCGUGUCGUGAGAUGUUGGGUUAAGUCCCGCAACGAGCGCAACCCUUGUUACUAGUUGCCAGCAUUAAGUUGGGCACUCUAGUGAGACUGCCGGUGACAAACCGGAGGAAGGUGGGGACGACGUCAGAUCAUCAUGCCCCUUAUGACCUGGGCUACACACGUGCUACAAUGGGUGGUACAGAGGGCAGCCAAGUCGUGAGGCCGAGCUAAUCCCUUAAAGCCAUUCUCAGUUCGGAUUGUAGGCUGAAACUCGCCUACAUGAAGCUGGAGUUACUAGUAAUCGCAGAUCAGCAAUGCUGCGGUGAUACGUUCCCGGGCCUUGCACUCACCGCCCGU